ACUCCCAAAAAGCCAAAGGAAGCAGCACCAGGCAGGAAAAGAAAAGGGGAAGCAGUUCCACGUGAUUUCUGGGCAGGCAUUGCAACAAAAUAUAUGAAGAUGGAGCUGACCAGCUAGGAAGAAGGAUUUAGAAGUGCUAAGCAUCGGAGGAUGGUCCACUAGGAAAAGUGGGGCACUGCCUCACCUACAUCAGCCCACCUCCUGCCUGCCUGCCUGCCUUCUCACGUACAGCAACCAAUCAGGAAGUAUCUCUGCCUGUCAUUGGCUUUGGCUUCACUUACGCCCUUUUAUACAGGACUCGAGGAAAUCCCACUGAAUUGGAAUGGACUGAAAUAACCAUCAAAAUAACGAUAAGGCAACGUUACAUGAUUCUAUUGCUCCUGGAGUUCCCUGAGUUUUGGAAGGAGAAUGGUAAAGACUUUGCAUAGAAGUGCUUGCAGCUUUCCUCUUUGCUUAGCCUCAGACAUUGUGGAUUGAACAAGUAAUAGAAGCAAAGCAUUGAUUUCAGCAUAAAGUUGAUUCUUCAUUGGCAUUGCUCUGGUCCAAGGUUUCCAAAAGCUCUCCCGAAGGGGCUCAGUUUAUCUCUAACCGGAUCUCGGCCUGGACAGGAGCAGAACUUCCUAAAAGUACAAUCUGAGAGAGUCAUAUAGGAAAUGAGGAGAGCUGAAUUUAAGAUUGGAUACAUGAAAAACUGAUGGAACCAUCCCUACUGCCCAUCCUAAGACUUACCAUCGACUCUGAAAAGUAAAAUACGGAACUGCCGGGGAUCCACCUUGACCUACAACAAAAUAAUGAGGAGACAACUUAAAACACAUACUACACACACUCAUCUGUAGAGUUGGAAUGAUUUUGUUCCAAAAAUAUUCUCAUCAAAAUUCUCCUUUGCAGAUUUUGGGAGGCAAUAUUCUCUUAAGUACUCAUAUAUUCUCCAAAUAAUCUGUUUUUAUGAUGUUUUAAAGUGUUUUUAGUGUUUCUGUUUGCCACCCUGGGCUCCUGCUGGGAGGAAGGGCGGGAUAUAAAUCAAAUAAUAAAUACAUAAAU
Molecule: long non-coding RNA, 1041 nt
Organism: Rhineura floridana
Lineage: Eukaryota; Metazoa; Chordata; Lepidosauria; Squamata; Rhineuridae
Exons: 3
Source: RefSeq, a predicted model, not a curated record